GACGAACCGUGCGAACGUUAUUCGGAAUCACUGGGCUUAAAGGGCGCGUAGGCGGGCCAGCCAGUCUGUGGUGAAAGCCUCCAGCUUAACUGGAGAAGUGCCGUGGAUACUGCUGGCCUCGAGGAGGAUAGGGGCAUCUGGAACGGUCGGUGGAGCGGUGAAAUGCGUUGAUAUCGACCGGAACUCCGGUGGCGAAGGCGAGGUGCUGGGUCCUUUCUGACGCUGAUGCGCGAAAGCCAGGGGAGCAAACGGG
This 253-nucleotide ribosomal RNA is filed under the name uncultured bacterium. RNAcentral describes it as "partial 16S ribosomal RNA". It matches the Rfam family "Bacterial small subunit ribosomal RNA", at positions 524 to 776 of the family's 1533-position model. The record is from RNAcentral.